AAAACCCUGCUGUGUGCGAAUCAGACUGUAUUUUUUGAGCCAACAAAUUUGACUUGGGAGCUUUGGCUCCGGCGGCGUAGAAUAUGCCCCAAAUGUCGGGGACAUUUGAAAGCGCCGGGCGGGCACCCACCUGCGGAAGCAGGUUCAAAAAAUGCGGUUCAAACGGCAUGGCGGGGUAUUU
RNAcentral lists this non-coding RNA (181 nucleotides) under Bacillota bacterium. RNAcentral describes it as "Firmicutes bacterium (anaerobic digester metagenome) 6S RNA". It matches the Rfam family "6S / SsrS RNA". Rfam says of the family: E. coli 6S RNA was the first non coding RNA to be sequenced, but its function was unknown until recently. It consists of 184 nucleotides that fold into an extended hairpin structure with a large single-stranded internal bulge. The 6S RNA specifically associates with RNA polymerase holoenzyme containing the sigma70 specificity factor. The record is from RNAcentral. Lineage: Bacteria; Bacillati; Bacillota.